RNAcentral lists this ribosomal RNA (790 nucleotides) under uncultured fungus. RNAcentral describes it as "SSU rRNA". It matches the Rfam family "Eukaryotic small subunit ribosomal RNA", at positions 564 to 1360 of the family's 1831-position model. The record is from RNAcentral. Lineage: Eukaryota; Fungi.
GUGCCAGCAGCCGCGGUAAUUCCAGCUCCAAUAGCGUAUAUUAAAGUUGUUGUGGUUAAAAAGCUCGUAGUUGAACCUUGGGCCUGGCUGGCCGGUCCGCCUCACCGCGUGCACUGGUCCGGCCGGGCCUUUCCCUCUGUGGAACCCCAUACCCUUCACUGGGCGUGGCGGGGAAACAGGACAUUUACUUUGAAAAAAUUAGAGUGCUCCAGGCAGGCCUAUGCUCGAAUACAUUAGCAUGGAAUAAUAAAAUAGGACGCGCGGUUCUAUUUUGUUGGUUUAUAGGACCGCCGUAAUGAUUAAUAGGGGCAGUCGGGGGCAUCAGUAUUCAACUGUCAGAGGUGAAAUUCUUGGAUCAGUUGAAGACUAACUACUGCGAAAGCAUUUGCCAAGGAUGUUUUCAUUAAUCAGGAACGAAAGUUAGGAGAUCGAAGACGAUCAGAUACCGUCGUAGUCUUAACCAUAAACUAUGCCGACUAGGGAUCGGACGGUGUUAUUCAUGACCCGUUCGGCACCUUACGAGAAAUCAAAGUGCUUGGGCUCCAGGGGGAGUAUGGUCGCAAGGCUGAAGCUUAAAGAAAUUGACGGAAGGGCACCACCAGGGGUGGAGCCUGCGGCUUAAUUUGACUCAACACGGGGAAACUCACCAGGUCCAGACACAAUAAGGAUUGACAGAUUGAGAGCUCUUUCUUGAUUUUGUGGGUGGUGGUGCAUGGCCGUUCUUAGUUGGUGGGGUGACUUGUCUGCUUAAUUUGCGAUAACGAACGAGACCUCAACCUGCUAAAUAGUC